GCCAGCAGCCAUAUCACCCUGCAACCCACUAAAGCUAAGCAGGUGUGAGCCUGGUCAGGACCUUGAUGGGAGACCUCCUGGGAAAAACUAAGGUUGUUGCUGGAA
Molecule: ribosomal RNA, 105 nt
Filed under: Lepisosteus oculatus (spotted gar)
Lineage: Eukaryota; Metazoa; Chordata; Actinopteri; Semionotiformes; Lepisosteidae
Source: RNAcentral